UGCAGACAUAAAACAUAUUUCUAGGGCCACCUCUUCAGUGCUCUCCUUCCUGCACUGGCCCUUCUGAGUAGAAAAGCCAGGGUGCCACGACGGAAUAAGUGUCUAGGUGUGAGGAGUCCUACACUUCUCCUUGCUCCUUGCAUCGAGAAAAUGGUACUUUUUGCCCAUUUUAAAAGUACCUCAAGAAAAUAGUACUUCAGCUUUCAUGCAGAUUUCACACUUCCAGUUUUAUGCUGUUGUAUCAAUGCUAACUCCAGAGUACAUAGGAUCCUGAAAACACGAAGUCCAAGUGAAUGCUGAGAGGAAAAGGGAACACAAGGAAGAACUGCUCAAAUAAAGCAAGUGGAGCAACAACAAGCAUGCAUCCAGUGUUGCUGGGUGAUACCGUUCGCUACCCUAUAAAACCUUGAACAGGCUCAUCCAUCGCACACUAAAAGAAGGAGGGGAGGCAGAGGGAAUCACCCCAACAGGAGGUUCCUUCGUUGGCAUAAAUGAAAGCUCUAUAAUUGUUUUGAUUCCUAGGAAUAAUUUGUGAGCUAUCUGCGUGCAAAUACUCAUUGUAAAGCAGUGCAUUUAAGAAAAAAAUAUAUAUAUAUAUUAUCCUAAAGACCAGA
This 614-nucleotide long non-coding RNA is filed under the name Anser brachyrhynchus (Pink-footed goose). RNAcentral's name for it is "lncRNA (ENSABRG00000003562.1)". Lineage: Eukaryota; Metazoa; Chordata; Aves; Anseriformes; Anatidae. The record is from RNAcentral.